Molecule: long non-coding RNA, 1155 nt
Organism: Pan troglodytes (chimpanzee)
Lineage: Eukaryota; Metazoa; Chordata; Mammalia; Primates; Hominidae
Exons: 3
Source: RefSeq, a predicted model, not a curated record
AACCCCAUCUCUACUAAAAAUACAAAAAUUAGCCAGGUGUGGUGGCACACGCCUGUAGUGGUGGUGCAUGCCUGUAGUCCCAGCUACUCAAGAGGCUGAGGCAGGAGAAUCACUUGAACUGGGAGAUGGAGGUUGCAGUGAGCUGAGAUCGCACCAGUGCACUCCAGCCUGGGCAACAGAGUGAGACUCCGUCUUAUAAAAGGAAGAGAGAAAGAAAAGAAAAAUUCCAUAUGUGAGUGUUUACUCCUGAGUUUUUGAGAUUGUUAUUAAGAUCGUGCUCUACUGUGAUGAUUUGGGUUUGUUUGAUAAUCAGAAAAAAGCAUAUUCUUUUAGGUGUUCAGCCACACUGCUUUGGUGUCACAACUGCACAUUGGUUUCACAGCUGCAGGACAAGUUCGAGCAUCUUAAAAUUAUUCAACAGGAGGAGAUAAGGAAGUUCGAGGAAGAGAAAAAACAACUGGAAGGAGAAAUCAUAGAUUUUUAUAAAAUGAAAGCUGCCUCUGAAGCACUGCAGACUCAGCUGAGCACCGAUACAAAGAAAGACAAACAUCACCAAACCAAUGCAGACCAAACCAAUGCAGAACUCCUAUGUGCUGAUGGUGGUCUUACGUUUCCCUAAGUUUCUGCCGACUAAACUGUGCACACGUUCUCAGGACCUCCUGAAGCUGCGUCACAGGCACUAAUCAAAGAACACAACCAAGAGUUUGGCCUUUUCUUCAGCACUGGGAAUUGUGAUCCAAAGCUUUCCCGGAUGAAGCACAAAGUUGGAGAAACAAAACGCAAACUAAACAACAACAAUGAAACAGAACAGAGUUAAUCUGCUGUAGCUCAAGAGAGGACGUACCUGCCCCCACCCCGCAUCCCUGGGCUCGGGUUUGCCUUGCUGACCUCUGCUGCCACCUGGUGCCACACAGAGAAACUGAGGAGAAACCACACCAGUCUCCUUCAGCCUCAGCUUCACAUCUGUGGGUCAAGUAACCCUUUCAGAAGCUGUAUAAUGUGGGAAAGCUUUCCUUUCAGGAAAAUGCACACAUCCAACUUUGAGAAGAUGCCCUUGGGGGCGCUUCAAGGAUCCUAGAUAAAGAACCCCCUUUCCCGAACAUCCAAGAACCUAAGUUUUUUUUUUUUUUUUGAGAAAGUCUCGCCCUCUCUCCC